Molecule: ribosomal RNA, 494 nt
Filed under: uncultured bacterium
Lineage: Bacteria
Description: partial 16S ribosomal RNA
Rfam family: Bacterial small subunit ribosomal RNA
Source: RNAcentral
GACGAACGCUGGCGGCGUGCUUAACACAUGCAAGUCGAACGGAAAGGCCUGCUUUCCCUUGUGGAUUGCGGGUACUCGAGUGGCGAACGGGUGAGUAACACGUGAGUGAUCUGCCCCCAACUUGGGUAUAAGCCUGGGAAACUGGGUCUAAUUCCCGAUAGGACUGCAGGGUGGUGCCUGUGGUGGAAAACGAUUUUCUAGUGGUUGGGGAUGAGCUCGCGGCCUAUCAGCUUGUUGGUGGGGUAAUGGCCUACCAAGGCGGCGACGGGUAGCCGGCCUGAGAGGGGGGACGGCCACAUUGGGACUGGGAUACGGCCCAGACGCCUGCGGGAGGCAGCAGUGGGGAAUAUUGCACAAUGGGCGGAAGCCUGAUGCAGCGACGCCGCGUGGGGGAUGACGGCCUUCGGGUUGUAAACUCCUUUCGACCGCGAGGAAGCCACCUGGUUGGAAGGGUGGUGACGGUAGUGGUAGAAGAAGCACCGGCUAACUACGUG